Molecule: ribosomal RNA, 253 nt
Filed under: uncultured bacterium
Lineage: Bacteria
Description: partial 16S ribosomal RNA
Rfam family: Bacterial small subunit ribosomal RNA
Source: RNAcentral
UACGGAGGGGGCUAGCGUUGUUCGGAAUUACUGGGCGUAAAGCGCACGUAGGCGGCUUUGUAAGUUAGAGGUGAAAGCCCGGGGCUCAACUCCGGAAUUGCCUUUAAGACUGCAUCGCUAGAAUUGUGGAGAGGUAAGUGGAAUUCCGAGUGUAGAGGUGAAAUUCGUAGAUAUCGGGAGGAACACCGGUGGCGAAGGCGGCGAUCUGGGUCGAUACUGACGCUGAGGUGCGAAAGCGUGGGGAGCAAACAGG